ACGUAGGGUGCGAGCGUUAAUCGGAAUUACUGGGCGUAAAGCGUGCGCAGGCGGUUUUGUAAGUCGGAUGUGAAAUCCCCGGGCUCAACCUGGGAACUGCGUUCGAAACUGCAAGGCUAGAGUGUGUCAGAGGGGGUAGAAUUCCACGUGUAGCAGUGAAAUGCGUAGAGAUGUGGAGGAAUACCAAUGGCGAAGGCAGCCCCCUGGGAUAACACUGACGCUCAUGCACGAAAGCGUGGGGAGCAAACAGGAUUAGAUACCCUGGUAGUCCACGCCCUAAACGAUGUCAACUAGUUGUUGGUAGAGUAAAAUCUAUGAGUAACGUAGCUAACGCGUGAAGUUGACCGCCUGGGGAGUACGGUCGCAAGAUUA
RNAcentral lists this ribosomal RNA (372 nucleotides) under uncultured bacterium. RNAcentral's name for it is "bacterial SSU rRNA". It matches the Rfam family "Bacterial small subunit ribosomal RNA", at positions 525 to 896 of the family's 1533-position model. The record is from RNAcentral.